This 227-nucleotide ribosomal RNA is filed under the name uncultured bacterium. Its description in RNAcentral is "partial 16S ribosomal RNA". It matches the Rfam family "Bacterial small subunit ribosomal RNA", at positions 28 to 253 of the family's 1533-position model. The record is from RNAcentral.
GAUGAACGCUAGCGGCAGGCCUAAUACAUGCAAGCUGAACGGCAAGAUUUGUAGCAAUACGAGUCCUAGAGUAGCGUAAGGGUGCGUAACACGUAUGCAAUCUGCCCGCAACAGGAGGAUAGCUUAGCGAAAGUUGAGAUAAGACUCCAAUAAGAUCACGAGAGGCAUCUGAUUGUGAUUAAACUACAAGGGUUGCGGAUGAGCAUGCGUCUGAUUAGUUAGUUGGC